UACGUAGGGUGCGAGCGUUGUCCGGAAUUAUUGGGCGUAAAGAGCUCGUAGGCGGUCUGUCGCGUCGGAUGUGAAAGCCCGGGGCUUAACUCCGGGUCUGCAUUCGAUACGGGCAGGCUAGAGUUCGGUAGGGGAGAUCGGAAUUCCUGGUGUAGCGGUGAAAUGCGCAGAUAUCAGGAGGAACACCGGUGGCGAAGGCGGAUCUCUGGGCCGAUACUGACGCUGAGGAGCGAAAGCGUGGGGAGCGAACAGG
This 253-nucleotide ribosomal RNA is filed under the name uncultured bacterium. RNAcentral describes it as "partial 16S ribosomal RNA". It matches the Rfam family "Bacterial small subunit ribosomal RNA", at positions 524 to 776 of the family's 1533-position model. The record is from RNAcentral.